Molecule: transfer RNA, 90 nt
Filed under: Candidatus Pelagibacter communis
Lineage: Bacteria; Pseudomonadati; Pseudomonadota; Alphaproteobacteria; Candidatus Pelagibacterales; Candidatus Pelagibacteraceae
Also listed under: 1 other name
Description: tRNA-Ser
Rfam family: tRNA
About the family: Transfer RNA (tRNA) molecules are approximately 80 nucleotides in length. Their secondary structure includes four short double-helical elements and three loops (D, anti-codon, and T loops).
Source: RNAcentral
GGAGAGAUGGCCGAGUGGUUGAAGGCGCACGCUUGGAAAGUGUGUAAAGGAGCAAUUCUUUCAUGGGUUCGAAUCCCAUUCUCUCCUCCA